RNAcentral lists this long non-coding RNA (736 nucleotides) under Ananas comosus (pineapple). RNAcentral describes it as "long non-coding RNA (ACOM_LNC016540)". The record is from RNAcentral. Lineage: Eukaryota; Viridiplantae; Streptophyta; Magnoliopsida; Poales; Bromeliaceae.
AUCCCCAAAUUACUUUUAGGGCGCGUUUGGUUCGCACUAUCUUUUAAAGAUUCCUAAUAAUCCAAUGGGAAUAAAAAAAUAUGACGGUGUUUGGCUAAACGCACUAAGUAAUCUAGUUGGUAAUAUUGGAUUCACUUAGGAAUAUGAUUCACCCCAAAGUACUAAUCUCAUUCCCUUGAGGGGGAUGGGUAUCCUCAUAUUAAUGGAUUGGGAUAAUCAUAAUAUAUCUAAUCUCUUUUUUUCUUCCUACCCGUCGGCUAAUUGAUAUUAUUUUUCUUUACACUCUAACCUUAUAUCUCUCUCUAAACUUAUUUUUCUCUCUAAAAUUCAACUUUUUUUCUCUCUCUAAACUAAGCUUUCUCUCUCUCUCUCUCUCUCACUCCCUCUAAUUUUGACUAUAUUUUUCUUUUUAUUUUUUUAAUUAUGCUCUCUCUCUCUAACUUAUACUCUCUCUUCCUUUUUUCUAAAAAGAUGUUGAAACUUUUGGUAACAUUAUCUAAAAUUAAUUAAAUAAAUAAAUUAAUUAAUUGUAUAUUUUUUGUAAUAUUAAAUAACAUGACUAAUUAAUAUUACCGUGCGAACCAAACACAGGAAUUCCACAUUCUUAGUAAUAGAAUGAAUAGGAAUAAGAUUCUCGGAUAUCUUUUAUUUCUAGUAAUCUUUCAUAAUGCGAACCAAACGCACCCUUAUGGACAUUGUGUUCAUAAAAUUUUUGCCCGUCGACAACCCUUUUUCA